Molecule: long non-coding RNA, 10458 nt
Organism: Parus major (Great Tit)
Lineage: Eukaryota; Metazoa; Chordata; Aves; Passeriformes; Paridae
Exons: 2
Source: RefSeq, a predicted model, not a curated record
CGGGCCGGGCCGCACCGGGCCGCACCGCCACCGAACGGCGGCCGUGGCCUGCCAGACGGCCCGGGCAGGAGCCAGCGCAGCGGCGACGGGUGGUUCCCCACGGCAGGGGGGCUUAGCUGAGCCGGCUCUGACCUCCCCACCUGGCCCAGGCAGUGGGCUGAGAGCCACCUCUUCCCCCGCGAUCCCCGUUGGGCAGUACCUCAUGAGGUAGAGGCGGCAGAGCCCGAGGAGAGUCGGGGAUUUCCCUUGCUGGAAGGCAGCACGGUGGCCUCUGCCGGGCAGGGCGGCAGCUGCCCCCGAGGACAGAAAGCAGUGCCAGCGUAGCGGGAGCUCCCGCCUGACUCCGGCUCUUCUGCCCGGCCGCUCCGGUCCAGCAGCGGGUUUGGGGAAGAUGGAAGGGACAGGUUGCAUCCACCUCUUCUCUAACCCAGCUUCCAGUUUCAGAUGCUGAAAUGGUGUUUAAAGUGGACUGCAUGCUCCUGUAAUUUCUCUCCUGAAACAAAAAAAAAACAAAAAAAAAACCAAAAAAACCAACAUUGGAAACUAAUUAACCAAGGGAAAAAGAGAAAAACUGACUGCUAAAUACAAUGGAAUGAAAUUUGGGAAGAAAUGUGUAGACUGUGAUGGACAGGAAAAAGAUACUAGGAUUGGAAAUGCAGAUGUCACUGAAUCUGGGAUUGGUAUUGUGUUAGGGCUGAAUUGGUAAGUAAAAUGGAGCUGAUAUCUGAAAUAGUGACAGCAUAGUUUCACAGAUAAGCUCCUGGGUAUUUAGUUGGAGAGAAGCAGCAGAUGUUAGCUGUACAACUGGUUAGGGAUUUCCCGAUAAGCUACUUAUGUCCAUGAGAAAAUGAUAACAAUUCAAGAUCUAAAUGGUUGUUGUGAAUACAGUAAAUCUCCCAUAUUUUUUGUCUGUUGUUUUGGUUCUGUUGUUUUUCAAAAAAAGAAUGUUUCCAAUUGUUGAAAAUGCUUCAUCAUUUCUAAGUGGAAAGGAGUCUUAUCUUCCAUGACUUUCUACUAAAUGUUGUAGAUAAUGGAAACACAUUUGAAAACAGUGGGGAACAUUUAAAAACUGUAAGCUUAAUAAUUUAAAAUUCAAGUUUAUAAAUUUAAUUCAACUUAAUGGAGCAUUUUUAAUAAAUAGAUCACAAAAAUCUCUGAUUUUUUUCUCUUUUCAUGGCUUGGAAAUUGAAGUUAAACUCUGCCCAGUGAUAGACUUCCAUAGUCAGCAGUUUUGCCAGCCUGAACCAAACUGAUCAUGGACAUAAAAGGUAGAUAACAUAAAAUAGAAUCUGAAAUAUUGCAUGAUAAAGCAUUUUUAUGACAAAUAUCUGCAUACUUUGGUUUUUUUUGAGCAAGAAGUGCUGCUUUGAGAGGGAAAAGGUUUCUCUGGUUUUCUUUACUCUCUGUGCACCAAACUGACCUCACAAUACUUGAAAAAUUCUGUCAUAGGGCAGGCUCUGUUUAUCCCAAAGUAUGUAUUGAAGAUGUUUGUUGUGGCUUGAUGAUAGAAUAACUGAUGCAUUCAGAUAAGCAUGAGUAUCUUGGCAUUGUUUGUGCAUAUUUGUACAAAUUGUCCUCACUGGCUCUCUGGUUCUUAGGAGCAUACUAUGCCUGGAACAUUGCUGCUUGAAGCUGCUGAGGCACUGUUCCCAUUCUGGGGAUGCUGAAGUGAGGUAGUUACUGUGCCUAAAGACACAGCUCAAGCUUAAUUCAGUAAUUUCUUAAUAGUACUUCUUGGGUGAUUUCUGAACAGAGUAUUUUCUUGAAAUUAGAUUGAUAAUCCCAUUAGUAAAAGAUGUAUGCUAUUGAAAAUCAAUUGUUCAGUAUUUUAGUUAUUUUUUAUUAUUAUAACAAAUUUCUUGUAGUACAAUUCUCUAAUUAUUACAUAAGAAUAUAACCAAUUUACAAACUUUGUUCUUUUAUGUAUCAAGAGGGUAUUGUAGCAUUACUCAACACUAAUAUUUUUGUGGCUAUUGUCCUGGUCUCCUUGUCGUUAUCACUCAAGUUCUUCAUCAGUACAAAAAGGACCUUCAUCAGAUCCUGGGAAUGAAAAUACUGCCACUGCAGAAUCAGAUGUGUGCAUAUUUUGAUAUUGAUGUAUAUUUGAUAUUCAGGUAUUGAUGCACGAUUUUGACCAGUAGGAAUAGGCGUCAUCAUCAUAGUAUUUCUGUGAGUGGGUACAGCCUGAAGAAAGAGUCUGUUAACUAUCCAUCAACAGCUGUGUCCAAAGCUUAUGGAGCCAAAGAGAACAAGCAGAGUGACCAAGAGAAAGUAAGGAUAACAGAGUCCUAAUUGUGAGCUAAGCAAUGUUUGAUAGCACACAAAGAACAUAGGUUUGCAAGCAGUUUUAAAGUUGAGCUAGAAAUUUAUCUAACUGCUAGAUAUGUCUGAAAUUAUUACUGAAUUUCUGCUCUGAUAUUUAAAAAGAUGCUAGCUGAGCUUGCAAGGUUGAUUGGUCUCUCUAUGACUAGUUUUAACAUACUUUUAUGUGGUUUGAUAUUUUUAUUUUAUAUUUAUAUAUUUAUAACAAUUUUUUUUGUCCAAUAUGAUUUGAAUAAACUAAAUUGUGGUUAACCUAAAUUAUAUAAUGAUUUUUGCAUGAAUAAUAAGACCAUACACAGGUCCAGGUAAAACAGGUGGGAUUCUUGAGACAAAGAUAUGAGAUAAUUGAUAAGCACUGCUUCUGUGUUCUUAAGUGCAAGUUUCCUCACUUGUGAUGAUUUAAUGAGUUAAGAGAGACUGUGUUUAGAAACAGAGAAUAAAUAGAUUUCUUACCUAAAUUAUCAUUGAUCUUUUAAUAUUUAUUGCUGUUGGUUACUGCUGCUGCCUUGGUUUCGCUGCAUGACACUGAAAAGCCAGAGCUAAGAAUAAAAUUAUGCGGGAACCUAGUAUUUUACAUAGGAGGAGAGAGGAUAAAGAAUGGAAUGGUGCAAGAGAUCACAGGGAAACUGCAGAAGAGAGGAAGAUAAAAAUGGAAAGAGAGAAGAUUCACAGAAAAAAAAAAUAUUGCAAGAAGUACUACAGUUGUACAUCAUAGUUUCUUACUUGAAAAUGUUCAGAUUUAAAAAUUUGACCCUAGCAGUUGAGCAGACUCUGUUUUACCAUAACUAAAACUAUAUUUUCCUUUCAUUUACAGUCACUGCCUUGCUGUGUUAACUUUACGUUAUUGUAGCUUUUCAGUUUGGGAUACAAAUUAAAAAAUAUUCCAUUUCAUUUUAAUAUUCAACUCAUGAAAGACUGGUAAACACACUACGUACUGUACGAAUGCUUAAAGUUGUUCCUUACAAGUCUUGUAAAUAAUGAAAGUUCACUCUUACACCAAUUGGAUCAGAUGUUUAUUUAGGAUAACCUCAUAGAACUAAAUACACUCAGAAAACAAAAACUCUGUUCUUGUAUCUUACUCCAACAUAAAAAAAAAGAAAUGUAAAAAUGACUUAGUGGGUGAACUUCUUCAAGUAAUAAAAGGCCCUUUUACUUAAACCAUAAUUUAGGCUUAAUCACAGGGAGAAAAAAGUGUGUCUUUUCUCUGCCAUAAUAGACAAACGUCUCAACAUGAAGCUCUACACAAUGCUGCAGCAUUGUCACCCUGGGUUAAAUAAACAAGGCAAUCAUAAGAUAGAGUAGAAAGACAUUUCAAACAGAUUUCUAACUGUGUUUGAUUAUACUUAAAUUUAAUGGAUCUUGACAUGAUGAAGCAUGUGAAGAGAGUCUUAAAAGUAACUUGAUUAGAAUAAGUUUUUUUUGGGAUACAAAAGAAUAUAACAAUGUGAACUUAGAAGUAUAGACAAACAAAAAAAUCAAAAAAUACAUAAUUAAUCUGAUUUUGAUCAUGGUUUAUAUUAUCCAGAAUAAAGGAUUUUUUUAGGAAAAAAAAAUAUUUUAAAAAAAACUGCACGUGGAAAUCAAAUACAGAAAUAAGUCACAUUUUUUCAUAUUUUCUCUUUGAGUUUCACAAAGAAAGUGGACAAAUUUGUAUGUGGAUAUCUUCCAAACAUGAGUUCUAUAUGUUCAUCCUAUGCCACGUGAAUACACCUCUGUUUCUGAAGUAUAUUUUUACAGCAGCUUUACAAAGUAGAGCGAGACUGGUGUUUCCAUAUGGAGUGCUGUGGAAUGAAGGGUAAACACUAAUGAUACUUUGUGAAAACAAAGGUAUGCAGUCUUGAUUUAAACAUAGUAUACAUGUAAGAGUUACAUUUUUGCAGCUAGCCAGCUGAGAUGUAAAUUAAUUUAUUUAAAGCUAAAUCUCAUACCAGUGCUCUGUGCUUUACAGCUGAGAAAAUUUCUCAUAAAUUAUGGACCCCACUGUUCUGUAAUAGAGCAGGGAAUUGAAUUUAGGUAUGGCCAGUAUCAAAUUAACUCAACAACCACUUGCCCCCCACCUGCCUCCUGCCUAGAAAGAAAGGAAAUGCCCUCCUCUGAGGAGGAGACUGGGCAUGUACGUGUGUGUGCUGGGGCAAAACUUCAGCUGCUGUUUUCCAUUCAGACUUGAGCACACAGCAUUGCAGAGAGUUCUUCAUAAAUCUCUGCAUACAUGUGUUACAAGUCAGAGUUUUAUAAUAAACCUGAUUUGAGAAAUUUGAUGAAAUAAUAGUUUUACAUUAUUCCAUAUCUUCCUUCUUUAAGACAUUGAGAUGUGAAAGUCCUCCCAGAUGUAGCAAAGUACAGGCAUUUGUCUAAAGCUUGGUUCAUUAGGAUUCUAGGUGGUCCUGUUUGGCUGGUCCAUAUUAAUUGCAGCAGUGACAUUUGGGGUCAGGGGAUCACGAAACAGCCAGUCUGUAUUAUUUUGACCUGAUCUCAGGUGCUGUGGUGUAGGAAAUAGUUAAUUAUAGUUUUUCAGUGACUCACAUCUUUAAUAUUAGUGUGAUUGAUCUUUGUGCACUGUAGACCCUUGCAGCUGUUUCUCAUCAUAAGAUUCCCCCUUCGUAUUCACCACAACACUUAAACACAUUCAGUUACGUUUAUAAAUGAUGUGAAGCCUCCACCAGCAGCAUGGUGUCUCAAAGUAGGCAAAUAUAAAGCAUACAGGUACAAAGCUCUGCUGGAAACUGUAGGGACCUUGAAGGAAAAAGAAAGAAGCAAAUUAUCAGAAAACAUUUUUUUCUCAUUUCAAUCAACCCAAAUCCCCCCUCAUCAUGGGUUUCAAUUAAAGUUUAGAAUAUAUUAUAUUUUUAGGCAUUUUGCAAUAGACAACCCAUGCAAACCAGGAACUGAAAACAUCAGCUAUUACUAUAAAGAUUUGAAGUACAUUUAGUAUAUAGCACCUCGUUAAAUUGAGUCAGUAGUUGGUAGAUUACAGAGGUGCUUUCCAGUGAAAAAUUAUCUGUUUUUUCAAAAGCCAAAAUAAUUCAGUGUGGAAUGCUAUAUAUAUUAUAUGCAUUAAAAUAUUUAUGUUAAUUCAAGAGGAUAUAAAAAGUGUAGGGAAGCUGGGAACUUGAAUGUUAUGUUUUUCACAGCACCUGUCACUUCACUAUAGCCAGCAGCAUAUCCUUGCAGCAUUGAUCUAAUUAAAUUCAAUGCCUCUGCAAAGGGGCACAAUGCCAAUGGCUGUGAGAACCUCAAUUUUAUAUUUCCUGAGUCUGACAUAUUUAAAGUUUCAUCUAUAACACUAGAUUAAAUUAAAUCUAUGUUGAAUAUAUGGUAAGAAACUGGAUUAAGCUCUGAAUUCUCUAGUUAACACUCACAAAGUGCUUCUUGUAAUGAUAUCACUUGGAUUAUUUAUCCUGUACACUGUUCAUGAAGAUAGAUGUUCAACUUUUCCGCCAGAACUCUUCAUCAAAAGUUUAUUCUGCCUGGGAUAAAGUUCAGCUGUUGUCACAGAAGUGUUUCAUUGCAAAGGCCUGAGACCACUUCCCUUAUUCCUUUCAGGAAUACAAUAACAAAUGUUUGGAGGGAUAGGAAUCACAUGAUGUUCACAACCAUUACCCAACAGAUUGUUAUUUGCAGAGGAGAGACAGGGUUUUAUUACCAUUUUGAAAAUGUAGUUUCAAAGUUUUAGGGUCUAUAGAGUUAUAUUUUCUUUUUAAGUCUCACUACAUUGAAAACUCUACAUGAAUAUUAGACAGGGAUUUUAAAAAUAUUUCUUAAAUUUAUUUUAAACUUUAAAUAAAUUUUCAUUGAUAUGCAUACCUAUUCUGUUCUUUUUCCACAGUACUACGUAUUUUUAAUGACAAAAAUAUUCACAGAUGAUCAAUAACAAUCAUAGUCAUAUGUGCAUGUAAUAUAAUUUACAAUAAAUUCAUCCAGUUAGGGUUUAUCUUAGGUAUCACACUUAAGCAAGAAGUAUGGAUAACAAAUUUUAAAGUCUGUUCAUGAUAAACAGAUGUUUAAGAAAUAGUUUAAAAAGAACCAUUAGGUGAUCUUGGCUAAAGAAUAGAUUUGACUUAACUGUAGUCUGCUUAAAGACAUUGUCCACAGACAAAAAUCUUACUGCAAAGGAAAAAAAACCAAUUUUUUACUUCUUUGAGAUCUUGUAAAUUUUCUACACUGGAAAACUGUAGCUUUUAUACCAGCGUGAUUCUUCUCAUAUGAGAUUCUGGUGUUUAUGUACAUUGUACACUUUCAAUGCUAAAGAUUUCAAAAGUUCUAAGCAUUCUUUCUGCUUCAACUGGAUGCCUUGACUCUUCUAAUUCAAAUAUACAUAUUGCAAAGAACAGCCUACUCGGGGUAGCAUUUGUCUGGCAGUUUGUUCUAUAAAUUCACUGAUUCACUUCCAGUGAAUUAAACUGUAGAUAUACAGUAUAAAAUUAAGAACCACCAUAUUUUUUGAUCAAAAGUUAGUACAAGGGUUGCUUUGCAUCAAAAACCUCCAUAAUGCUGGUAUUGUUCUGCCUUGGGGGAAAUGAUGGUUAGAAAUAAGAAGAAAUCAUAAUGAAAGAAUACCAAUCAUCUGUUUUGCAACACUCAUGUAACUUUUACAUGAACUUCUUAACUAAAUAUCAGAGAUAUAUUUAAUUAUUUUUGACCAUGCCCUGAUCAAAACAGAAGGUACAAUUUGUGAUCUGUCCCAGUUCUGAAGCAUAAUUAAAAAACCAGCAUUGAAACAUAUGGACUGAAAAAUUAUUGUAAUAGAAAUAUUCAACUAUGUCACAUUCCAGCCAGUGACACUUGAGACUCUAUAAUAGACACUGGAAAAUUUGUUAGCAUGGCUCACAGCAAGAAUUGCCUUAAUGCAAUGGCAGCUGGAUAUAGUUAUCCUGGAAAAUUUGAAAAUUUAAUUAGUUACAGUGAGGUGAAGGCAAAAUAGUAGGUUAGUUUAUGUGCAAAACCUGCAGAUUCUAGGUUUAUGUCAGAAUACUGUGACCUACAAACAAUUAACUGCGCUUUCAUGUAAGAAUUAGUUUCACUGACUUUAGUUUGCAAGCAGUUAAUUCAAAAUUAAGACUAUUAUUUUCUCUUAUAUUUGCUCCAAGCCUUUUUAACACGAUCACUUCCCUAAGUUAGCGGAGUGUUACUCAGUACUGAAGAGACUGUUAAGCCAACAUCUGUUUCACAGCAAAAAAUCCAUGGUGAUGUGGUGAUUAAGGCAGAUAGGUUUUCUAUCCUCAGAGAAUAAAUGCAUGGCCAGGAUCCUCAGUGGUGAUUGUAUCCUCGUGCCUGUAUUGGGUUUGUGUAUUUGGUAUUUGUGUAUCUGUAUUUGGUAGUGAGGGGUCUACAGGUGCUGCUUCUGGAAGAAGCUCCUGGAGGAAUGCCAGCCAGCUCCAGGACAGACCCACUGCUGGCCAAAGCCGAGCCCAGCAGUGAUAUUGGAGGCACCUCUGUGAAAAUGUAGUUAGGAAUGGGGGGCAAAACCUGCACACCACCAACAGAAGUCAGAAGAGAGGAGUGAGGACAUGUGAAAGGAACAACUCUGCAGACACCCAGAUGAGUGAAGGAGAAGGUGCCCCAAAGCAGAGACUCCCCUGCAGCCCAUGGUGAAGGCCAUGGUGAGUCAGGCUGUGCCUCUGCAGCCCAUGGGGGUCCACAGUGAGUAGGAAUCUGUCUGUUGAUCGUGGAGAUGAUCACACCACACUGAAACAGAUGGAUGUGUCCACAGUAGACACUAAUUUUCCCAAGCCUAUUUUGCCUGUCAUAGUAACUGUCUCUCACUUUCCUUAUCUUGACCCACAAGCCUUCCCUUAAAUUCUCUCUUUGUGCAGCUGAGGAGGGAAGUGAUAGAGAAGCUGUGUGGGUAUCUGGUGUCUAGCUAGGAUCAGCUCACCACACCCUUCAAAUGCCUCUUUUCUUCAUUCUGCUUCAUUUUUCAAAAAAAAAAAAAUCCAUUAAAUUCUUUCAGGACUGAAAAUAUUUGUCCUCAUAUUUUGCUCAUAUAUAAAAUUUUAGUCGUUGUAAUAUCAAGAAAAGUAUUAUAAAAUAUAUUUUAUUAUUUCUCUUUACUCCCUCUUAAAAGCAUCUCUGUUCUGGAGAAGUUUGACAGUGAUUUCAGACACAAUUGAAUUAAUAAGAUCCCAGAUAUCUAAGGCCAUCCACAUUAAGUUAGUUUAUAUCUGAUUUUUUGCUUCAGUGCUCCUUCUCCAUUUCAGUGCUAUUGAAAAGUUAUCCAAAAUCCUGUAUCUGGUCCACACAACGACUGAACAACUUUAUGUCCUUCCUCUUUAACUAUUGAACUCAUCAAAUUAGAGAUACGUUUGUCCAUUAGUUCAGAUGAAUACCAUGUUUUUCAAUGCACUUAGUAAAGGCUCCUAUAAGUGAAUUAUUUUAGGUGUUUUAUAUAGUCAGUGGUGAGAGAGUCACUCUGUUUUAUGAGCUAACUAAGUGUCUGGGGCUUCUUGUCUCUCUCCAUUGUCUAUAUAGGCACACUGAAUAAACACAUUCUCCAGGCCUGUAUUCUGCUAUCAUUGUUUGGGGAAUUUCUGCCAGCUCAUUCAUGCUUUUUAAAAAAAUUAGCGUUUUCAAAGUGGCCUUGUCAGUCUGGUCACAUUCUCAGUUUCAGAGAGAGUUAGCUGCUGUUUUUCAAAUAAUGAUUUUGAAAACUCCAGUAAAUGUCCACUUCAGAACCUUUUUUCCUUAUAAUUCAAUGACCUAAUUUCCGAAGUCUGAUGGCUACCACUUCCAUGCAUGUGUUUGUGAUUAGAUUUUUUGGCUUAAACAUCUAGAGAGCAGGAAACUUGUUUUUGACAUCUACAUGUAAACAAGAAGCUCUGGGCUGCUUUACAGCUCUGGGCAGAGCUUCUAGAGGUAGUGAUACUCUCUGCUGCAUUUGUCACAGAACAGGGAGGAAAAAUGAUUAGGCUAGGCCCAUUUCCACCACACGUGUGUAGCAGCCUGGAACAUUUCAGUUAAAGGACUUUGUUUGGAGGGGAAAAAUACCUUUAUUAUGCUCUGCUGACAGAACAGGUGACAAAGGACUGAACUCAAUAUUUCAGCGGAAAGACAGUAGUAAAACUGUUUGUGUGGUUUUUCAGUAAAAGGAUUCAAAAUGCUGGCAAUCAUGAUUUGUGGUUUGGCUCAGGGUUUGGCUUUUGCAUCUGUUUUGGUGGAGGUUGUGGUUAUUUGGGGGUUUUUUUAUCCCUAGAUUGCUAGUAACACUGAACAGUAUCCCACUGCAGUUUAUUGAAACUACACAAACAAGGUAAUUUCUGGGUUUUUUUAUUAUUGGGUGGAAGGGGGUUUCUCAAUUUUCAGGAAUUUUAAAAUCUCAUUUACUGAAAAUUUACGUGGCAGUAUAAUUACAAUGAAGUACACAGGAUAUUACAUAAAUUAAUUUGGCUUCAGAUACUCCUUUUCUCUUUUGCAUUAGUCUUUGUCAUGUACAUCUUCUGUGGGGCUUACUGCUUUAUAUGCUAGUGACAUAUUGAAGCUUUGCAUUACAGGAGAAUUUUGCAAUUUUUUGAUGGUAAUAUGAAAAAGAAUAAAAUUGUGAUUGAAAUUAGUUCCUCAGAAAUAUUUUGCAGUUGAAAAUCAAACAAAGAAGAAUUCAGGGUACAUUUACUGCUACCGUGCUGCAAGAGGAGUGUAUGAAAAAAAAGUUAUUGUUGUAUAGUGUUAUCCCUAAAUACGCAUUCAAAGCUUUAGUUCUAGAUCUGUUUGACAUAUUUAGAGCAUGUGACAAGAUCUUCAAAAAUUUUCCACUUUCUCAACUAGCCUUCAACACUUGUGAAAUAAACUGACUACAGAGUGCCAUGUUAAAGCUCCAUUCUCUCUUUUUUUAACAGUAAUAUGUUCACAGGGAAUAGAUUCAAGGCUCUGGACUGAAUUGGGCUGACAAAGCCUCGCAAUAUUAUUAAGUAGUGAACAUUGUUUGUUUUGGCCUACUUCCUGAAGUCUUUUGUUCUUUUAUUUCUCACCUUUUUUUUCUAUAUUUUCAGGGACAGAUUAUUUUUCCCAAGUGAAAUCAAAUGAUGAGAGAUAUGGAAGAUGGCUGAGGUUAAUACUGCUACUUAGUUCUAAUGAAAAAUCAUGUCCUUUAAUCAUCAUUGAACAUCUUUAUUAUCCAAAAAUAAAACUGUGCUUUUCACAUUU